AACAUACUGUAUGCAUAUGCUUCAGAGCGAGUACCAACUCUAGAGGCACAGUGAGAGAAACAAAGGGUCUCCUCUGUGCUUUCUGACCACUGUCAGAAAUCUGUAGCAGGAAAAGUUAACC
This is a long non-coding RNA of Etheostoma spectabile (orangethroat darter), 121 nucleotides long. RefSeq lists it as uncharacterized. Lineage: Eukaryota; Metazoa; Chordata; Actinopteri; Perciformes; Percidae. The transcript has 3 exons. The record is from RefSeq and is a predicted model, not a curated record.